AGAACGAACGCUGGCGGCAUGCCUAAUACAUGCAAGUCGAACGAACUCUUCGGAGUUAGUGGCGCACGGGUGCGUAACGCGUGGGAAUCUGCCCCUUGGUUCGGAAUAACAGUUGGAAACGACUGCUAAUACCGGAUGAUGACGAAAGUCCAAAGAUUUAUCGCCAAGGGAUGAGCCCGCGUAGGAUUAGCUAGUUGGUGAGGUAAAGGCUCACCAAGGCAACGAUCCUUAGCGGUCUGAGAGGAUGAUCAGCCACACUGGGACUGAGACACGGCCAGACUCUACGGGAGGCAGCAGUAGGAAUAUUGGACAAUAGGCGAAAGCCUGAUCCAGCAAUGCGCGUGAGUGAUGAAGGCUUAGGUUGUAAAAUUUCUUUACACCGGGUAGAAUAAUCGAACGGUAACCCGGAAGAAGAACGGCCCGUACCGUAACUUCGUGCCAG
Molecule: ribosomal RNA, 442 nt
Filed under: uncultured soil bacterium
Lineage: Bacteria
Description: bacterial SSU rRNA
Rfam family: Bacterial small subunit ribosomal RNA
Source: RNAcentral